UACGUAGGGAGCAAGCGUUAUCCGGAUUUACUGGGUGUAAAGGGAGCGUAGACGGCAGCGCAAGUCUGGAGUGAAAUGCCGGGGCCCAACCCCGGAACUGCUUUGGAAACUGUGCAGCUGGAGUGCAGGAGAGGUAAGCGGAAUUCCUAGUGUAGCGGUGAAAUGCGUAGAUAUUAGGAGGAACACCAGUGGCGAAGGCGGCUUACUGGACUGUAACUGACGUUGAGGCUCGAAAGCGUGGGUAUCGAACAGG
RNAcentral lists this ribosomal RNA (253 nucleotides) under uncultured bacterium. RNAcentral's name for it is "partial 16S ribosomal RNA". It matches the Rfam family "Bacterial small subunit ribosomal RNA", at positions 524 to 776 of the family's 1533-position model. The record is from RNAcentral.